Molecule: unclassified non-coding RNA, 179 nt
Filed under: uncultured Postia
Lineage: Eukaryota; Fungi; Basidiomycota; Agaricomycetes; Polyporales; Polyporaceae
Description: sequence contains ITS1
Source: RNAcentral
UUGAAUUUUUGAAGGAGCUGUUUGCUGGCCCUUAGCGGGGCAUGUGCACGCUCCGUUCAAAUCCAACCUUUAUACACCUGUGCACUCUUUGUAGGGUUGUGGCCGCGAGGCUGCACCCUAUGUCAUUAUAAACUCUUUAGUAUGUGUAGAAUGACCAUUGCGUGUAACGCAUCUUUAUA